GAUGAACGCUGGCGGCGUGCCUAAUACAUGCAAGUCGAGCGAACAGACGAGGAGCUUGCUCCUCUGACGUUAGCGGCGGACGGGUGAGUAACACGUGGAUAACCUACCUAUAAGACUGGGAUAACUUCGGGAAACCGGAGCUAAUACCGGAUAAUAUAUUGAACCGCAUGGUUCAAUAGUUAAAGACGGUUUUGCUGUCACUUAUAGAUGUAUCCGCGCCGCAUUAGCUAGUUGGUAAGGUAACGGCUUACCAAGGCAACGAUGCGUAGCCGACCUGAGAGGGUGAUCGGCCACACUGGAACUGAGACACGGUCCAGACUCCUACGGGAGGCAGCAGUAGGGAAUCUUCCGCAAUGGGCGAAAGCCUGACGGAGCAACGCCGCGUGAGUGAUGAAGGUCUUCGGAUCGUAAAACUCUGUUAUUAGAGAAGAACAAAUGUGUAAGUAACUAUGCACGUCUUGACGGUACCUAAUCAGAAAGCCACGGCUAACUACGUG
This 497-nucleotide ribosomal RNA is filed under the name uncultured bacterium. RNAcentral's name for it is "partial 16S ribosomal RNA". It matches the Rfam family "Bacterial small subunit ribosomal RNA", at positions 28 to 507 of the family's 1533-position model. The record is from RNAcentral.